UACGGAGGGGGCUAGCGUUGUUCGGAAUUACUGGGCGUAAAGCGCACGUAGGCGGCUUUGUAAGUUAGAGGUGAAAGCCCGGGGCUCAACUCCGGAAUUGCCUUUAAGACUGCAUCGCUAGAAUUGUGGAGAGGUAAGUGGAAUUCCGAGUGUAGAGGUGAAAUUCGUAGACAUUCGGAAGAACACCAGUGGCGAAGGCGACUUACUGGACACAUAUUGACGCUGAGGUGCGAAAGCGUGGGGAGCAAACAGG
This 253-nucleotide ribosomal RNA is filed under the name uncultured bacterium. Its description in RNAcentral is "partial 16S ribosomal RNA". It matches the Rfam family "Bacterial small subunit ribosomal RNA", at positions 524 to 776 of the family's 1533-position model. The record is from RNAcentral.